This 429-nucleotide ribosomal RNA is filed under the name Chloroflexota bacterium. Its description in RNAcentral is "Chloroflexi bacterium partial 16S ribosomal RNA". It matches the Rfam family "Bacterial small subunit ribosomal RNA", at positions 355 to 776 of the family's 1533-position model. The record is from RNAcentral. Lineage: Bacteria; Bacillati; Chloroflexota.
UGGGGAAUAUUGCACAAUGGGCGCAAGCCUGAUGCAGCCAUGCCGCGUGUGUGAAGAAGGCCUUCGGGUUGUAAAGCACUUUCAGCGGGGAGGAAGGCGAUAAGGUUAAUAACCUUGUCGAUUGACGUUACCCGCAGAAGAAGCACCGGCUAACUCCGUGCCAGCAGCCGCGGUAAUACGGAGGGUGCAAGCGUUAAUCGGAAUUACUGGGCGUAAAGCGCACGCAGGCGGUCUGUCAAGUCGGAUGUGAAAUCCCCGGGCUUAACCUGGGAACUGCAUUCGAAACUGGCAGGCUAGAGUCUUGUAGAGGGGGGUAGAAUUCCAGGUGUAGCGGUGAAAUGCGUAGAGAUCUGGAGGAAUACCGGUGGCGAAGGCGGCCCCCUUGACGAAGACUGACGCUCAGGUGCGAAAGCGUGGGGAGCAAACAGG